Anguilla rostrata (American eel) is the source of this 217-nucleotide long non-coding RNA. RefSeq lists it as uncharacterized. The record is from RefSeq and is a predicted model, not a curated record. The transcript has 2 exons. NCBI's taxonomy places the organism in Eukaryota, Metazoa, Chordata, Actinopteri, Anguilliformes, Anguillidae.
AUUACAGGCAUUUAGCAGACGCUCUUAUCCAGAGCGACUUACACAACUUCAAGGUGCAGAGGUGCAGAAAAACACACUAGAGUGAAGUAAAGAUCGUAGUGCCAGAAGUGACCACAUAGAUCAGGACUCCAACCCAGUAGGGUAACCUGUUCAGCAAACAAACAAACAAUCCUGCCAAGUACAAACUAGCACUGAAAUCACAUUUGCCUAAUCAGAA